GAAUAUUGCACAAUGGGCGAAAGCCUGAUCCAGCAAUGCCGCGUGCAGGAUGAAGGCCUUCUGGUUGUAAACUGCUUUUGUACGGAACGAAAAGCUUUGGGUUAAUACCCUGGAGUCAUGACGGUACCGUACGAAUACGCACCGGCUAACUACGUGCCCGCCACCGCGGCAAUACGUAGGGUGCGAGCGUUAAUCGGAAUUGCGGGGCGUAAAGCGGGCGCAGGCGGUUUUGUAAGACAGAGGUGAAAUCCCCGGGCUCAACCUGGGAACUGCCUUUGUGACUGCAAGGCUAGAGUACGGCAGAGGGGGGUGGAAUUCCGCGUGUAGCAGUGAAAUGCGUAGAUAUGCGGUGGAACACCGAUGGCGAAGGCAACCCCCUGGGCCUGUACUGACGCUCAUGCACGAAAGCGUGGGGAGCAAAC
RNAcentral lists this ribosomal RNA (422 nucleotides) under uncultured bacterium. RNAcentral describes it as "partial 16S ribosomal RNA". It matches the Rfam family "Bacterial small subunit ribosomal RNA", at positions 359 to 773 of the family's 1533-position model. The record is from RNAcentral.